UCGAGGGGUAACGGAAGUAGCUUGCUACUAGACGACGACCGGCGCACGGGUGAGUAACGCGUAUGUAAUCUGCCUUGUACAGAGGGAUAGCCCAGAGAAAUUUGGAUUAAUACCUCAUAGUAUUACUGGAUCGCAUGAUUUGGUAAUUAAAGCUCCGGCGGUACAAGAUGAACAUGCGUGACAUUAGCUAGUUGGUAAGGUAACGGCUUACCAAGGCUACGAUGUCUAGGGGUUCUGAGAGGAUGAUCCCCCACACUGGUACUGAGACACGGACCAGACUCCUACGGGAGGCAGCAGUGAGGAAUAUUGGUCAAUGGACGCAAGUCUGAACCAGCCAUCCCGCGUGAAGGAUGACUGCCCUAUGGGUUGUAAACUUCUUUUAUAUGCAAAUAAACCUACUUUCGUGAAAGUAGCUGAAGGUAGCAUAUGAAUAAACACCGGCUAACUCCGUGCCAGCAGCCGCGGUAAUACGGAGGGUGUAAGCGUUAUCCGGAU
RNAcentral lists this ribosomal RNA (495 nucleotides) under uncultured bacterium. RNAcentral's name for it is "bacterial SSU rRNA". It matches the Rfam family "Bacterial small subunit ribosomal RNA", at positions 62 to 550 of the family's 1533-position model. The record is from RNAcentral.